UGGGGAAUUUUGGACAAUGGGCGCAAGCCUGAUCCAGCAAUGCCGCGUGAGUGAAGAAGGCCUUCGGGUUGUAAAGCUCUUUUGUCAGGGAAGAAACGGUAUCUCCUAAUACGGGGUGCUAAUGACGGUACCUGAAGAAUAAGCACCGGCUAACUACGUGCCAGCAGCCGCGGUAAUACGUAGGGUGCAAGCGUUAAUCGGAAUUACUGGGCGUAAAGCGUGCGCAGGCGGUUAUAUAAGACAGAUGUGAAAUCCCCGGGCUCAACCUGGGAACUGCAUUUGUGACUGUAUAGCUAGAGUACGGUAGAGGGGGAUGGAAUUCCGCGUGUAGCAGUGAAAUGCGUAGAUAUGCGGAGGAACACCGAUGGCGAAGGCAAUCCCCUGGACCUGUACUGACGCUCAUGCACGAAAGCGUGGGGAGCAAACAGGAUUAGAUACCCUGGUAGUCCACGCCCUAAACGAUGUCAACUGGUUGUUGGGUCUUCACUGACUCAGUAACGAAGCUAACGCGUGAAGUUGACCGCCUGGGGAGUACGGCCGCAAGGUUG
This 548-nucleotide ribosomal RNA is filed under the name uncultured bacterium. Its description in RNAcentral is "bacterial SSU rRNA". It matches the Rfam family "Bacterial small subunit ribosomal RNA", at positions 355 to 896 of the family's 1533-position model. The record is from RNAcentral.